GGGGAAUCUUGCGCAAUGGGCGAAAGCCUGACGCAGCAACGCCGCGUGCGGGAUGAAGGCCUUCGGGUUGUAAACCGCUUUCAGCAGGGACGAAAAUGACGGUACCUGCAGAAGAAGCUCCGGCUAACUACGUGCCAGCAGCCGCGGUAAUACGUAGGGAGCAAGCGUUGUCCGGAUUUAUUGGGCGUAAAGAGCUCGUAGGCGGUUCCGUAAGUCGAGUGUGAAAAAUCUGGGCUCAACCCAGUGAAGCACUCGAUACUGCGGUGACUAGAGUACGGUAGAGGAGUGUGGAAUUUGUGGUGUAGCGGUGAAAUGCGCAGAUAUCACAAGGAACACCAACGGCGAAGGCAGCACUCUGGGCCGGUACUGACGCUGAGGAGCGAAAGCGUGGGGAGCAAAC
Molecule: ribosomal RNA, 400 nt
Filed under: uncultured bacterium
Lineage: Bacteria
Description: bacterial SSU rRNA
Rfam family: Bacterial small subunit ribosomal RNA
Source: RNAcentral